RNAcentral lists this ribosomal RNA (1023 nucleotides) under Triticum aestivum (bread wheat). RNAcentral describes it as "partial small subunit ribosomal RNA". The record is from RNAcentral. Lineage: Eukaryota; Viridiplantae; Streptophyta; Magnoliopsida; Poales; Poaceae.
AUGACAGAUGCAAUAUCGAAAUACUGGUGGGGAGAUGACGACAACCACAAGCAUAUCCAUUGGGCAGCAUGGUGGAAACUAUGUGUACCUAAAGAGAGGGGAGGCUUGGGGUUCAGGGAUUUACACAGUUUUAAUUUAGCUCUACUUGCUAAACAGGUUUGGAGGCUACUCGAGAACCCUAACUCUCUAUGUGCAUAGAUUUUGAGGGCCAAAAAUUACCCGGAUGGAAAGUUAUUGGAUGCUAAGUUGAAGAGUGAAAGCUCUUAUACAUGGCAAAGUAUCUGCGCUGGAAUUAAUACUUUCAGGAGAGGUGCAAUAUGGCGCAUACGAUAUGGAUCACAAGUGAAGAUUUGAUCUGAUUCGUGGAUACAAUCGAGUGCUGAUGGCCGUGUCAUUACACCGCGAGGAGGGACCCUUCUGUCUAAGGUCUCGGAAUUGAUUAAUCCUGUCACCGGUUUGUGGGAUCAAGAGUUGAUAAAUGAUGUGUUUUGCCCGGUAGAUGCGCACAGAAUCCUUGCAAUACCGCUGGCACCACAUGGAAUGAUGGAAGACUCUGUGCCCUAGAGGUUUACAAAGAAUUAUAUCUUCUAGGUCCGAUCAGCUUAUCAUGUGGAGUGGGAACAUCAAUUUGCCCGUUGGUAUGAACGAACAGAAGGGGAGCCAUCCCAGUGCUACCCGGUGUGGACAAAGCUUUGGAAAUCGCAAGCUCCUGCAAAGAUUAAUAUCCAUGCAUGGAAGGUACUACACGGUUUCAUACCAUGUUAUGGGGUUUUGGUAAAUCGCCACAUCUAUACAUCUGAUAGCUGUCCUAUGUGUGUGGAUGGAUGCGAGGACAUUAUGCACCCACUUUUCACUUGCCCAAGGGCAGCGGAAAUCUGGAGAUGUCUGAAUCUGGACGGGUUCAUAGAGGAGGCGUGUGACAGGGCGGGCUCGUCAGCUCUAGACUAUAUUUUAUUUGCUCCCACACGUCAGACUCUGAUCACAGAUGUCCCGGCUCAAUUUCUAGUCCUAGUGGGCAUCUAG